This 732-nucleotide ribosomal RNA is filed under the name Xerocomus sp. MAN2011-b. Its description in RNAcentral is "eukaryotic LSU rRNA". The stretch from base 194 to 348 matches the Rfam family "5.8S ribosomal RNA". The record is from RNAcentral. Lineage: Eukaryota; Fungi; Basidiomycota; Agaricomycetes; Boletales; Boletaceae.
CUGGAUCUAGUCUUUCUAGUCUGGCAUGUGCACGUCCCCUCACCUUUUCUAUCUACACACACCUGUGCACCUAUUGUAGAUCCCCUCUUGAAAGAGAAGGGAACUAUGUUUUCAUCACAUCACACACAUUGUAUGUCCAGAAUGUAAAUUUGUCGAUCAUUGAUUUGAUUGAUGAUAAAAUCAUAUAUAAUACAACUUUCAGCAACGGAUCUCUUGGCUCUCGCAUCGAUGAAGAACGCAGCGAAUUGCGAUAAGUAAUGUGAAUUGCAGAUUUCCAGUGAAUCAUCGAAUCUUUGAACGCACCUUGCGCUCCUUGGUAUUCCGAGGAGCAUGCCUGUUUGAGUGUCAUCGAAUUCUCAACCAAUCUCUCUUGAUUAAUCUUUAAUGUUUAAUCUUCAAGGGGAGCUAUGGCUUGGAGUUGGGAGUUGCUGGCAUGACUGUCAGCUCUCCUUAAAUGUAUUAGCAAUCGAGUUGGCUAGUCUUUGACGUGCACGGCCUCGGACGUGAUAAUGAUCGUCGUAGCUGGAGCGUCUUUUCUAGACUAUGCACAUAGAUCGCUUCUAAUCAGAAUGGGAAGCAAAGAGUAGAGCAAAUAGUCCACAUUGAUCAUGAUCUAUAAUCUAUCAAGCUUAGCUACUAGGCAGUCUCCUGAGGCUGGCGAACACAAGCAAGAAGGAUUAGGAUUAGGAUUAGGAUGAAAUGCUUGAUCCUUUCUUCUCUACUUCAGAGACU